RNAcentral lists this ribosomal RNA (2919 nucleotides) under Vibrio parahaemolyticus. RNAcentral describes it as "23S ribosomal RNA". It matches the Rfam family "Bacterial large subunit ribosomal RNA". Lineage: Bacteria; Pseudomonadati; Pseudomonadota; Gammaproteobacteria; Vibrionales; Vibrionaceae. The record is from RNAcentral.
GUUGUAUGGUUAAGUGACUAAGCGUACACGGUGGAUGCCUUGGCAGUCAGAGGCGAUGAAAGACGUAGUAACUUGCGAUAAGCCCAGAUUAGGUAGUAACAACCAUUUGAGUCUGGGAUUUCUGAAUGGGGAAACCCACGUGCAUAAGCACGUAUCCUUACCUGAAUACAUAGGGUAAGGAGGCGAACCGGGGGAACUGAAACAUCUAAGUACCCCGAGGAAAAGAAAUCAACCGAGAUUCCGAAAGUAGCGGCGAGCGAAAUUGGACUAGCCCUUAAGCUUUACACGCGUUAGACGAACGGUCUGGAAAGUCCGACGAUACAGGGUGAUAGUCCCGUAGUUGACGACGUGUGUUCAGUGAAAUCGAGUAGGGCGGGACACGUGAUAUCCUGUCUGAAUAUGGGGGGACCAUCCUCCAAGGCUAAAUACUACUGACUGACCGAUAGUGAACCAGUACCGUGAGGGAAAGGCGAAAAGAACCCCUGUGAGGGGAGUGAAAUAGAACCUGAAACCGUGUACGUACAAGCAGUAGGAGCAGGCUUUGUCCUGUGACUGCGUACCUUUUGUAUAAUGGGUCAGCGACUUAUAUUCAGUGGCAAGGUUAACCAUCUAGGGGAGCCGUAGGGAAACCGAGUCUUAACUGGGCGUUCAGUCUCUGGAUAUAGACCCGAAACCAGGUGAUCUAGCCAUGGGCAGGUUGAAGGUUGAGUAACAUCAACUGGAGGACCGAACCGACUAAUGUUGAAAAAUUAGCGGAUGACUUGUGGCUAGGGGUGAAAGGCCAAUCAAACCUGGAGAUAGCUGGUUCUCCCCGAAAGCUAUUUAGGUAGCGCCUCGGACGAAUACUACUGGGGGUAGAGCACUGUUAAGGCUAGGGGGUCAUCCCGACUUACCAACCCUUUGCAAACUCCGAAUACCAGUAAGUACUAUCCGGGAGACACACGGCGGGUGCUAACGUCCGUCGUGGAGAGGGAAACAACCCAGACCGCCAGCUAAGGUCCCAAAUUACUACUAAGUGGGAAACGAUGUGGGAAGGCUCAGACAGCCAGGAUGUUGGCUUAGAAGCAGCCAUCAUUNNNNNNNNNNNNNNNNNNNNNNNNNNNNNNNNNNNNNNNNNNNNNNNNNNNNNNNNNNNNNNNNNNNNNNNNNNNNNNNNNNNNNNNNNNNNNNNNNNUUAUUGGGUAGGGGAGCGUUCUGUAAGCGGUUGAAGGUGUGUGGUAACGCAUGCUGGACGUAUCAGAAGUGCGAAUGCUGACAUGAGUAACGAUAAAGGGGGUGAAAAACCUCCUCGCCGGAAGACCAAGGGUUCCUGUCCAACGUUAAUCGGGGCAGGGUAAGUCGACCCCUAAGGCGAGGCCGAAAGGCGUAGUCGAUGGGAAACGGGUUAAUAUUCCCGUACUUCUUACAAUUGCGAUGGGGGGACGGAGAAGGCUAGGUGGGCCUGGCGACGGUUGUCCAGGUUCAAGUGCGUAGGCUUAAGAGUUAGGUAAAUCCGGCUCUUUUUAAGGCUGAGACACGACGUCGAGCACCUACGGGUGUGAAGUCAUUGAUGCCAUGCUUCCAGGAAAAGCCUCUAAGCUUCAGAUUGUAAGGAAUCGUACCCCAAACCGACACAGGUGGUCGGGUAGAGAAUACCAAGGCGCUUGAGAGAACUCGGGUGAAGGAACUAGGCAAAAUGGUACCGUAACUUCGGGAGAAGGUACGCUCUCGACGGUGAAGUCCCUCGCGGAUGGAGCUAUUGAGAGUCGCAGAUACCAGGUGGCUGCAACUGUUUAUUAAAAACACAGCACUGUGCAAAAUCGUAAGAUGACGUAUACGGUGUGACGCCUGCCCGGUGCCGGAAGGUUAAUUGAUGGGGUUAGACUUCGGUCGAAGCUCUUGAUCGAAGCCCCGGUAAACGGCGGCCGUAACUAUAACGGUCCUAAGGUAGCGAAAUUCCUUGUCGGGUAAGUUCCGACCUGCACGAAUGGCGUAAUGAUGGCCACGCUGUCUCCACCCGAGACUCAGUGAAAUUGAAAUCGCUGUGAAGAUGCAGUGUACCCGCGGCUAGACGGAAAGACCCCGUGAACCUUUACUACAGCUUGGCACUGAACAUUGACCCUACAUGUGUAGGAUAGGUGGGAGGCUUUGAAGCACGUACGCCAGUAUGUGUGGAGCCGUCCUUGAAAUACCACCCUUGUAGUGUUGAUGUUCUAACGUUGACCCCUAAUCGGGGUUGCGGACAGUGCCUGGUGGGUAGUUUGACUGGGGCGGUCUCCUCCCAAAGAGUAACGGAGGAGCACGAAGGUGGGCUAAUCACGGUUGGACAUCGUGAGGUUAGUGCAAUGGCAUAAGCCCGCUUGACUGCGAGAAUGACAAUUCGAGCAGGUGCGAAAGCAGGUCAUAGUGAUCCGGUGGUUCUGAAUGGAAGGGCCAUCGCUCAACGGAUAAAAGGUACUCCGGGGAUAACAGGCUGAUACCGCCCAAGAGUUCAUAUCGACGGCGGUGUUUGGCACCUCGAUGUCGGCUCAUCACAUCCUGGGGCUGAAGUCGGUCCCAAGGGUAUGGCUGUUCGCCAUUUAAAGUGGUACGCGAGCUGGGUUUAGAACGUCGUGAGACAGUUCGGUCCCUAUCUGCCGUGGGCGUUGGAAGAUUGAAGGGGGCUGCUCCUAGUACGAGAGGACCGGAGUGGACGAACCUCUGGUGUUCGGGUUGUGUCGCCAGACGCAUUGCCCGGUAGCUAAGUUCGGAAUCGAUAACCGCUGAAAGCAUCUAAGCGGGAAGCGAGCCCUGAGAUGAGUCUUCCCUGAUACUUUAAGUAUCCUAAAGGGUUGUCGGAGACUACGACGUUGAUAGGUCAGGUGUGUAAGUGCUGUGAGGCAUUGAGCUAACUGAUACUAAUUGCCCGUGAGGCUUAACCAUACAACACCCAAGGGGUUU